Molecule: ribosomal RNA, 492 nt
Filed under: uncultured bacterium
Lineage: Bacteria
Description: partial 16S ribosomal RNA
Rfam family: Bacterial small subunit ribosomal RNA
Source: RNAcentral
AUUGAACGCUGGCGGCAUGCUUUACACAUGCAAGUCGAACGGUAACAGGCCUUCGGGUGCUGACGAGUGGCGAACGGGUGAGUAAUGCAUCGGAACGUACCCAGAGGUGGGGGAUAACGCAGCGAAAGCUGUGCUAAUACCGCAUGUGAUCUGAGGAUGAAAGCGGGGGACCGAGCAGCAAUGUUUGGCCUCGCGCCUUUGGAGCGGCCGAUGUCGGAUUAGCUAGUUGGUGGGGUAAAGGCCUACCAAGGCGACGAUCCGUAGCUGGUCUGAGAGGACGACCAGCCAAACUGGGACUGCGACACGGCCCAGAGUCCUACGGGAGGCAGCAGUGGGGAAUUUUGGACAAUGGGCGCAAGCCUGAUCCAGCAAUGCCGCGUGCGGGAAGAAGGCCUUCGGGUUGUAAACCGCUUUUGGCAGGAACGAAACGGUGUCCGCUAAUACCGGGCGCUAAUGACGGUACCUGCAGAAUAAGCACCGGCUAACUACGUG